UGUCAGCCCCGCUCGGCCUCGUCGGGGAGGGGAGCCCCGAGCGCCGCUGCCCGCAGCUUCUUCCUCCCUCACCUCGCUGGGAAGGGGGAAAAAAUAGGAAAGAAAAAGCAAAGAGGUGGCGCGGUUCCACCUGCACUGUCACGGGGGAUAUCAGCUGGGUCAGGGCUGCUGUGUGCUGCUGCAACUGGAGGCAUGGCUGCAGAGAUGCUCCAUUUCUGGGAAAGUUUCCUGUAUCUUAAGCCUACCAGACCUGAGAGUUACAGAGGUACCACCAUGCUGUGCAAGUAGUCCAGGAAUGAAAGCAGUCAACAGCAAACAUCACUGCAAGGGAGUUUUGACAUCUGAAGUCUUGCAGACAAGAGGAAUUAGUACUGAAGGAUCCGGCAGUGAGAAGCCUUUGAAGCUCACUUCUUAGAGGUGCAGUUGUUACAACAGAUAAAAUGAGCUGGCAGAAAGGAAAAAAGGAACUUACAGAAGAAAGCAUAGGAGAUGGGAAGCACAGCCGAAAAAAACGAGAGCGACUAUUUAAGAAAAGAUUUUCUGGAUUGAGUCUCUUCUCUGGGUCUCCUAAGAAUAAACUGUAAGUACAUAUGAUAUUAUAUUUUGUAUACAUUUUUAAACAAAUUUAUUUAUACACAUUUCCAAAGCACCUCUCAAAGAGCCAUGAACACCUUUGUAACAUCUGCUGUAUUAACUUCACAAACAAGGUAACUGUUAUGGGCUAAUUAAACAAUUUGAUCUAAAAAGUAGCAAGUCACUGGCAGAAGUAAGGUCUCCAAUCUCGGGCGUCUGCACGUUUUUCUUGCAAUCAUUUCUUAAGCGUCCUUCCAUCCAUCACAAAAAACGUGGAGGGGCAGCAUCCCUAUUUUUCCACGCACUUCAGAGAGCUGCCACUUGGGAUAACCCAGGGCUCCAUUUCUAGGAGUAACAGUUUUCUGUUGCACCAAUAUCCCUAGCUCCAGGGUGCAACAGUGGCAAUAUAGCAGCACCUAAACUCACUGUUCAACAAAGUUAGUGCUAGUGAGUUGCAUUGCUUAUUUUCCCUACAGUAGUGCCUUUAUGCUCGCUACUUUUCAGAGGGAAACGAAAAAAGAAAAAAAAAAAAAAGACAAGCAACGAAAAACUAUUCCUUUUAUCACCAAAUUCAGCAAAGAGGGAAAAAUGACUUUUAGCUUACUGUUUGGUGCAUCAGUUAGCUUUAAGGUAGUUUCAUCAUUCUUACAGUAUUUGAAAUUGUCUUCUUGUGUACUUGUAAUUGACAUUACUCUUCUUUAACAUAAGGUAAACAGAGUGUAUGUAUCAUGCUAAAAUCUAAAAAUGUGUCUUUCCUCAUCCGUUACAAAAGCUGUUUUCUGUACAGAUCUCCUAAAAAGAGUCUGUCUUUGAUAAUGAUCAUGAAAUUACCGUCUUAGCAGGAAGUGCAUGCAAGUCUCAGCAAUUACUCAGCUAACUACAUUAAGCUUGAUAGCCACGGCAGCUGGUUACAAGCUUGACAUAAGAUUAAAAUACAGUAGCCAGAAAUGAUCCUGAGAGCCAGAUUCUUCUCUCAGAUUGAUCCAAUUGCUGAACAACUAAUACCAAGGGCUCUGCUUUGGAAUUUAUCUUGCUGCAGUCAUGGGGAACUGGAGUGGAAACAGUCAAAGACCAUCCAAGAAGUUAGUGAAUUACAGUUGUGACUUUUCUUUGUUGUCUAUAAUUUCACUAAAGCAUGCAGAUAAGUGCAAUUGAAGAAGUAAAACCAUGCUGUCCAAACCUUGAUCCUUAUUUGAAAGUGACAAAUACAGGUUUUCCCAGUUUGAUCUAAAAAAAAGCAGUAACAUAACAUCCUUCUCCCACGGGACUCUCACAUUAAUCGAAAGUCUUCAGAUGUUACUGGAUGUUCUUUUACAGACACAUUACAUGGCAGUGCUUUUAGGAAGAUUCUGGCCAUGGGGGUCUACGGAACUUUCACAGUGGUGUAGCCAAAUCAGAAGAUCUCUAUGGCUCUGUGCUGCUUUGUGAGCUCUUUUAGGGGAACAUGCUUAAAGUCUUGAUUUAUAAGUCACAUUUUAUAUAAAAAACAUUGAGAGUGCUUUUUUUUUUUUUUUUUCCCCAGCCUGUCCACCUCUAUUGAAAGCCAGUACAAAAUAGGGCUUGUCUUACUAGCCAGCAUAAUUAUUUGUGCACGCAAAUGGAAAAAUAACCUUUAUGACAGUACAGAUGAAGUCUAUUGGGCCAGAAGCCUGUAGUUUAGAUGCACGCAGUUGCAUGAAAAUUAUCUUCAUGCAAAUACAUGAGGUUUAUGUCACGAUUACCCACAGAAAAGGUACAUAUUAAAGAACUGUGUAGAAAGCUCCUAUCUAGCUAGUUGACUUAUGACUUAAAUUAUUAUUUAUUUAUUUAUUUUGCAUUUUUGUUUUUAAAACUAAUGACUUGUAACUACCAUCACAACAACAGAGCCAGGCUUCUUUUUCUGCCCACUCCUGUUUUCUGCAGGAGACCGCACAUUGCACCUGCUUGUUGAAUGCCGUAGAACCUCAGGAAGGGUUCAUAAAUCAACACUAAUUGCUUCUGAUGAUCUCAUUCAUCUAGGAAAUGUAUCAGUUAAACUUGCCACCCUUCUUUCCUCUGACUGUUCUAGCCCUCAGGGAAGGAAUCAGAUUUUUGAAGACAAGAGGAGAUGUUUGCACAGGAAAGGUUCCAAAAAGCUGAAGCCAGCACGAGAGGAAAUAUGUUCUUUAAGGCAGCCACACUCUGGGAAAAUGUGUCCGAAGUGUGAAAUCCUUGUCUGCCGAAAAUGUGAGACACUGCAUUCAGAAAGCAGCUUCAUUGCCCACAGCCUGCUCGAUCACUAUGACAGAGGAGGAUGUGACAGCUCUAACACAUUGAUUGCAAAAGGCCAGCAAAUACACAGAGGUGAUUAAAGACUUGGUGGGGGUGCCUUGUUGAUACCUGACUACAUCCAAAAUGCUGAAGCUUGGAUCCAUUCAGGCUGAGCCAUCUGUCUGCGCAAUCUGUAUGCAGCAUCAGCAACUACAGCCAUACUGUUGUUCAUACUUAUUAUAUGUAGCAGAUGUCAUUCACUCAGUUAACUAGUACAAACUCUGCAAACAAAGAUUUGUAAGUAGGAGCUAAAAGUGUCUCAGCUAUUAAGAACAGGGAACGGUUUCAAACAAUUUCAAAGAGCUUUCUCUUUUUUCCUCUCAAAAAAAAAAAACCCAAGAUUAUCACAUCUAGCUGCAAAAGAGAAAGUGAAUAUUAAAUGCAGAACCACUGGGUGCAUUACAUUUGUUUGUAAUGCACAGGUAUGUUUCAGUGUUGCUUAUAGUCUGAAAUAUUAAACUUAUUUUAAAUUAACUGGCAUUAGUGUAUAAUUUGAUUGGGGGAGGGGUGGAGGGGAGGGGAAGAGAACUUCUAAAGGCUAUCCUGGCCACAGAAAAUUGCAGAUCACAUUCAAAUGCCCUUCCAGAAUUUCCGAGCUUUUACAGACAUUCAACGCCUAGCUUAUGAUCCAGCACCUCUCCUUAAGAGAAGCAGUAACAAUAGCAACUCACAGAGUAAAUAUUUAAGCCUUAUUUGGGUUUAAGAUCUGUGUAGUGCAGCACUGAUUAAAACAGUAUUCAAAGUUUAAACAGUGGUAUUCAAUGUUAAGAUUAUGAGCGGAACCCACACCUUGAGCUGUCCAUCUCCAUUCCCUUCACAGGGCCUGGAAGGACUUGCCCAGUGACAAUCAGGAGAGCAGGAAGGUGACAAGCCAAUAUACCAUGCUAGGUGGUGUGUGGCGCUGCGGUCAGCCGUACACAAGACUAUUUACCUGUAUGGAACUCAGAAAUACAGGGUAAGCAUAUAAACAGCCUCUGGAGCAGAUUACGUCUUUUCCUCCCAUGCUAACUGCCACAACUCUAUAUGUGGGAUUAAUUCCUUGCUGUUGGUAGGGCACAGACUGAACAGACUUUGUCUCACAUAGCCAUAAAUAUUAAGGAUUCUUUUAUUUAGCCAAGCAAACAGAGCAUGAGCUGGACCUCUGUUUAAUCACUCCUCUUACUAAGUUCCCAAGUCACUAAUCCACGGGAGCAAGGAAACUGUCUCCUUCUGUCUCUCUCUGUCCUCCCUCCCACCCCUUUGGGAGUUGUUCCAUUUUUGAUCAAAUCAAUGUUGGGUAAGGGGACUGGAAUCCACAUUGUUUCUGUCCCUAGGGAGUGCUGUAACUGUGCUGCAUCAUCCAUUCUAAUGUUGUUGGUUACCCGCCUCCCUGCCCCACGGAAAACAGCUUCAAUAGGAGGAAUCCGUAGCCAGGUAAAGGUCAUUCCCACAUUCCUGAGCAACAGUGCUCAGCUCCCUUUGAGAUAAACUAGAUGAAGACUCAACACUCCUUACGCAGAGGAGCACAUCAUGCCUUCUGAAUUCUGCAAAUGGUCUGAGAGCUUAGAAGAGGAAAAAAAAAGAUGAUCCUGCUCAGCAGAAAUUAACCUACCACUUCAACACUACAGCUGGAUAUUGGCAGGUCUCUAACCCAAGAUGGACUAGCACAUUGAAUGCACAUUGAUGGACAGAAAGCAGAGAAGGGAGACUGUCCUUUAAGAACAGUGCUUCAUCUUGCUUGAAAAAUAGUCUGUGGAGUCCCUCCCUGGUGCCUAGUGCUGCUGAAGGUUUAAGAGUGGGAAACAAACAAACAAAAACAACAACAAAACAAGCACAGGAGAAACUGCCAUCUCCUGCAUCAUCUACUGAAGACAAAAUGGACUGUACCUUUCCACUGCAAAACCGCAGUUUCUGAUGUACAAAGUAAUCUUAUACAUAUUCCAGUUUAAGUAGAGAAGUAGAUUGUAACAUAAAUGCAUCAACACAGUUACAUGGGAAAAUUAGCAAAACCAAAUCCACACAGGUUCUUGCUGUGCUGUACAUUAUCAGUGGAGAUCAUCUCAGUUACAAAAGGAAGAGAUCAAAAUA
Long non-coding RNA from Cygnus olor (mute swan), 4929 nucleotides. RefSeq lists it as uncharacterized. The record is from RefSeq and is a predicted model, not a curated record. NCBI's taxonomy places the organism in Eukaryota, Metazoa, Chordata, Aves, Anseriformes, Anatidae. The transcript has 7 exons.